GAUGAACGCUGGCGGCGUGCCUAAUACAUGCAAGUCGAGCGAACAGACGAGGAGCUUGCUCCUCUGAUGUUAGCGGCGGACGGGUGAGUAACACGUGGAUAACCUACCUAUAAGACUGGGAUAACUUCGGGAAACCGGAUCUAAUACCGGAUAACAUGUUGAACCGCAUGGUUCAACAGUGGAAGACGGUCCUGCUGUCACUUAUCGCUGGAUCCGCCCCGCAUUAGCUAAUUGGUAAGCUAACGGCUUACCAAGGCAACGAUGCGUAGCCGACCGGAGAGGGUGAUCGGCCACACUGGAACUGAGACACGGUCCAGACUCCUACGGGAGGCAGCAGUAGGGAAUCGUCCGCAGAGGGCGAAAGCCUGACGGAGCAACGCCGCGUGAGUGAAGAAGGUCUUCGGAGCGUAAAACUCUGUUAUUAGGGAAAAACAAAUGUGUAAGUAAAUAUGCACGUCUUGACGGUACCUAAUCAGAAAGCCACGGCUAACUACGUG
Molecule: ribosomal RNA, 497 nt
Filed under: uncultured bacterium
Lineage: Bacteria
Description: partial 16S ribosomal RNA
Rfam family: Bacterial small subunit ribosomal RNA
Source: RNAcentral